This 254-nucleotide ribosomal RNA is filed under the name uncultured bacterium. RNAcentral describes it as "partial 16S ribosomal RNA". It matches the Rfam family "Bacterial small subunit ribosomal RNA", at positions 524 to 776 of the family's 1533-position model. The record is from RNAcentral.
UACGAAGGGGGCUAGCGUUGUUCGGAAUUACUGGGCGUAAAGCGCGCGUAGGCGGUUUUGCAAGCCAGAGGUGAAAUGCCUGAGCUCAACUUAGGAAUUGCCUUUGGGACUGCGAGGCUUUGAGGACUGGAGAGGUGAGUGGAAUUCCCAGUGUAGAGGUGAAAUUCGUAGAUAUUGGGAAGAACACCGGUGGCGAAGGCGACAUCCUGGACCGGUAUUGACGCUGAGGCGCGAAAGCCAGGGGAGCAAACAGG